This 1218-nucleotide long non-coding RNA is filed under the name Ananas comosus (pineapple). RNAcentral's name for it is "long non-coding RNA (ACOM_LNC040152)". Lineage: Eukaryota; Viridiplantae; Streptophyta; Magnoliopsida; Poales; Bromeliaceae. The record is from RNAcentral.
UUUUUUUAUAUUCUUUUGUUUUUUACUUUUUAUGCUGUUGUGAGAUAAUUUUGGGUUUCUUUUUUUGUUGACUUAACUCUUUGAUCUCAUCUUAGAGAAAGUUUAAUCAGUUUACAUUUUAUAUAUGAUUCAUUUAGAUAGGAUUUUAACACGAACAUUCCAAGUUUGAGUGAAGAGGCUAAUUCAAAAGCGAUUGCCUGGUGGGCCUCCUCUUAUAUGUGGCGCCGAUUUUUUUUGUACUCUAGCUGCUACUUCUAGAAAGCUCUCAUAAUUUUUUGUUAUCUUGCAAUCCAUACUUACUUUUAUGGAUUGCAAGAUAAUAUUUUAAACACGCAAAAUACAUGCUUAAAUAUAUUGUUCUCUACUAAUUUUUGAGACUAUAUUUAUUUCUCUUUUUUUGUCAUAUAUAAUUACUUUUCUCUCCCGUUGAUUAAUUUUCUAUUUCUACUGAUGAAGAGUAACAUAUGAUACAUAUUUGAUAAGAAACAUCUUGCUAAGCAGUAUUAAUUAAUUGGAUAAAAAAGAAAAUAAUUUGGCCAAAGAAAUCUUAUUUACUUACAGAAAAUGUAUGCCAGGGGCAUUUGAGUUUACAUCAAUUUUACUCUUUUACGAGUCAUACCUUGAUUCUGAAGUGGUAUUGAAGUGAACAAACUAAAUUGUUUUCCUAAGAGCUACAAAAUGAGUCUUAUUUUUUUUGUCAAAUAGUGAGAAUGUGAUAAAAAAUAUAUGGUAAUGAAUACCGUCAAAAAAGGGGUUCUAACUUUCUAGAUGGUUUUAGAUUAUGCAGGAUUCCAAGCUUAUGAAUUUUUGAAUCAUUUAUCAGUUAGUUUGUUGUCAUUUGUAAUAUAAAAGUUUGUAAUUUGGCAACUACUGUUGUGAAUAUUAUUUUGUACGUAAGGAUGGCAGAUUAUAUCUUUCGAUAUUCUUCAUUUUAUGUCAUAUAUAUGAUUCAUAUAUUUUAAAACUCAACUCUUCGGUUUCAUUUUCUUUUUUUAUUCAAAAGUGUAAUAAUUAUAUUUAUUCAUAAAUUGGUGCUACCAAGUUUUGGUCAUUGGAUUAAGAGAUAUGCGGUUAGAAUGGUGUGGGUCUCCUAGGAUUAAGUGGAUGGUUGGUUGAAUAGUAUGAUCUAACGGGUGAAAAUGAUCAAAAGAAUUGAUCUAAUGGUGAAAAAUUUGAUAGCACAAAGUGUUUCGUGCUAUUAAUAGUAUAGUAGUUGGA